AGCACGACUGCUAGAUCAUAUGGUAACAUUAUAUUUAGUUUUGUAAAAAACUGCCAAACUAGCUUCCAAAAUGGUUGUACUAUUUUGCAUUCUCACCAGCAAU
RNAcentral lists this microRNA precursor (103 nucleotides) under Marmota monax (woodchuck). Lineage: Eukaryota; Metazoa; Chordata; Mammalia; Rodentia; Sciuridae. The record is from RNAcentral.